This 467-nucleotide ribosomal RNA is filed under the name uncultured bacterium. RNAcentral describes it as "partial 16S ribosomal RNA". It matches the Rfam family "Bacterial small subunit ribosomal RNA", at positions 28 to 507 of the family's 1533-position model. The record is from RNAcentral.
GACGAACGCUGGCGGCGUGCUUAACACAUGCAAGUCGAACGGAAAGGCCUCUUUCGGGGGGUACUCGAGUGGCGAACGGGUGAGUAACACGUGAGUAACCUGCCCUUGACUUUGGGAUAACUUCAGGAAACUGGGGCUAAUACCGGAUAGGAGCUCCUGCUGCAUGGAGGGGGUUGGAAAGUUUCGGCGGUUGGGGAUGGACUCGCGGCUUAUCAGCUUGUUGGUGGGGUAGUGGCUUACCAAGGCUUUGACGGGUAGCCGGCCUGAGAGGGUGACCGGCCACAUUGGGACUGAGAUACGGCCCAGACUCCUACGGGAGGCAGCAGUGGGGAAUAUUGCACAAUGGGUGGAAGCCUGAUGCAGCAACGCCGUGUGCGGGAUGACGGCCUUCGGGUUGUAAACCGCUUUCGCUCAUGACGAAGCUUUGUGUGACGGUAGUGGGUAAAGAAGCACCGGCUAACUACGUG